This is a long non-coding RNA of Oncorhynchus gorbuscha (pink salmon), 559 nucleotides long. RefSeq lists it as uncharacterized. Lineage: Eukaryota; Metazoa; Chordata; Actinopteri; Salmoniformes; Salmonidae. The record is from RefSeq and is a predicted model, not a curated record. The transcript is spliced from 3 exons.
UGACAACACAGCAGACACUCAAAUAUGCUUGAUAAAGUAAGCCAUUGGUUAUUGAAGCCAAGCAUACCAUGAUCGGAUAAAAGGGUGGGCAGUGCCAGGCCCCUGCGUCACUCUCUGCCCACCUGGCAGCCACAGGAGGGCAGCCACGAGCCUGACAGUAUGUCAGGAGAGCAGCAAGCACAGAACCUAAAGAGUCUAUCAACGCACCGUGAACUAGGCCACCACUGCAGGGAAGACAUCAACUGUACCAGUGAGAGAAAGGAUGUGGAGAGUAAUAUUUUUCCACCUUUGACUUUCAUCCCCCUUCCCACUCUCUGGGAAUGUCCAGGCAUUUCAGAGAGACUGAACCUGGGAUGAGAGGAGGGAAUGUCUUACAUAGUUCCAUUGCUAAAGAUCUUCCUACAGUAGCCCACAUUCUCCUUCAAUAUGUGAAUAUCUCUCUUCAUUAUUUCUCAAAGGAACCAAGUGAAAAUGUUCUAUUAUGAGCUCAAUCAUUUAGCCUAUUUUCUUUGAUUGUUUCAUCUUGGGCUGGUGAUUUUAGAUAUGACUUUUUACACAA